GCUGCAAGCUAGCGAUAGUGAGCGAAUCCCAAAAAGCGCGUCGUAGUCCGGAUCGGAGUCUGCAACUCGACUCCGUGAAGUCGGAAUCGCUAGUAAUCGCGAAUCAGAAUGUCGCGGUGAAUACGUUCCCGGGCCUUGUACACACCGCCCGUCACACCAUGGGAGUGGGUUGCACCAGAAGUAGAUAGCUUAACCUUCGGGAGGGCGUUUACCACGGUGUGAUUCAUGACUGGGGUGAAGUCGUAACAAGGUAACCCUAGGGGAACCUGGGGUUGGAUCACCUCCUUACCUUAA
Molecule: ribosomal RNA, 294 nt
Filed under: Aeromonas salmonicida
Lineage: Bacteria; Pseudomonadati; Pseudomonadota; Gammaproteobacteria; Aeromonadales; Aeromonadaceae
Description: partial 16S ribosomal RNA
Rfam family: Bacterial small subunit ribosomal RNA
Source: RNAcentral